CCUACGGGAGGCAGCAGUGGGGAAUAUUGGACAAUGGGCGCAAGCCUGAUCCAGCCAUGCCGCGUGAGUGAUGAAGGCCUUAGGGUUGUAAAGCUCUUUUGCCAGGGAAGAUAAUGACUGUACCUGGAGAAUAAGCCCCGGCUAACUUCGUGCCAGCAGCCGCGGUAAUACGAAGGGGGCUAGCGUUGUUCGGAAUCACUGGGCGUAAAGCGCACGUAGGCGGACUUUUAAGUCAGGGGUGAAAGCCUGAGGCUCAACCUCAGAACUGCCCUUGAUACUGGGAGUCUUGAGUAUGGUAGAGGUUGGUGGAACAGCAAGUGUAGAGGUGAAAUUCGUAGAUAUUUGCUAGAACACCAGUGGCGAAGGCGGCCAACUGGACCAUAACUGACGCUGAGGUGCGAAAGCGUGGGGAGCAAACAGGAUUAGAUACCCUGGUAGUCCACGCCGUAAACGAUGGAUGCUAGCCGUUAGCCAGCUUGCUGGGUAGUGGCGCAGGUAACCCUUUAAAGCACUCCGCCGUCGGGUAGGUACGGUCGGCGAAGAAGUUAAAACGUUAAAAGGUAAAGUUAGUAGGUUACGUUGUAGAGUUAGCGAACGGACGACGACGAGGGAGGAGG
RNAcentral lists this ribosomal RNA (617 nucleotides) under uncultured bacterium. Its description in RNAcentral is "bacterial SSU rRNA". The stretch from base 1 to 518 matches the Rfam family "Bacterial small subunit ribosomal RNA", at positions 338 to 873 of the family's 1533-position model. The record is from RNAcentral.